UGGGGAAUAUUGGACAAUGGGCGAAAGUCUGAUCCAGCCAUGCCGCGUGUGUGAAGAAGGUCUUCGGAUUGUAAAGCACUUUAAGUUGGGAGGAAGGGCAGUAAGCGAAUACCUUGCUGUUUUGACGUUACCGACAGAAUAAGCACCGGCUAACUCUGUGCCAGCAGCCGCGGUAAUACAGAGGGUGCAAGCGUUAAUCGGAAUUACUGGGCGUAAAGCGCGCGUAGGUGGUUCGUUAAGUUGAAUGUGAAAGCCCCGGGCUCAACCUAGGAACUGCAUUAGAUACUGGUUAGCUAGAGUGUGGGAGAGGAUGGUAGAAUUCCAGGUGUAGCGGUGAAAUGCGUAGAGAUCUGGUGGAAUACCAAUAGCGAAGGCAGACAUCUGGCCUAACACUGACGCUGAGGUACGAAAGCAUGGGGAGCAAACAGG
Molecule: ribosomal RNA, 429 nt
Filed under: Pseudomonadota bacterium
Lineage: Bacteria; Pseudomonadati; Pseudomonadota
Description: Proteobacteria bacterium partial 16S ribosomal RNA
Rfam family: Bacterial small subunit ribosomal RNA
Source: RNAcentral